This 277-nucleotide unclassified non-coding RNA is filed under the name uncultured fungus. RNAcentral describes it as "partial contains 5.8S ribosomal RNA, internal transcribed spacer 2, and large subunit ribosomal RNA". Lineage: Eukaryota; Fungi. The record is from RNAcentral.
AACGCACAUUGCGCCCGCUAGUAUUCUGGCGGGCAUGCCUGUUCGAGCGUCAUUUCAACCCUCAGGCUCCUUGUCUCAUGGCAAGGAUUCGAGCCUGGUGUUGGAGAUCGGCCGCCCCUUAUCGAGCGGCCGUCUCCGAAAUAUAGUGGCGGUCUCGCUGUAGCCUCCUCUGCGUAGUACUAUACCUCGCUCUGGGAAUGCAGUGUGACCAUGCCGUAAAACCCCCUAUUUUUUUUUGGUUGACCUCGGAUCAGGUAGGAAUACCCGCUGAACUUAA